RNAcentral lists this long non-coding RNA (291 nucleotides) under Fukomys damarensis (Damara mole-rat). RNAcentral describes it as "lncRNA (ENSFDAG00000023081.1)". The record is from RNAcentral. Lineage: Eukaryota; Metazoa; Chordata; Mammalia; Rodentia; Bathyergidae.
CCUAGAAAAGCAGUGUAGGGUGGCGAUUCCGGAAGGCAGCCCCAGUCCAUAUCGGUUCCAGAGCAGCCCAGAGCAGUGGAGAGGAUGGACGGGUCCAUCGGAUAUGCCCUGUACACAUCGGCCUCAUUAUCCUGCCGGGCGGUUGAAACACCUCCUGCCAUAUCAACUUCCAUCAGCUCAGCUUACUAAAGUGGGGCAUGGUUCCCCCAGCAGUCUCUCCAUCUUCAGACAGAAAGAGUAGAAAGAUAUACUAAGUGCAGUUAUACACCACGUAAUGAUCUUUCAGCUACC